UUUUCUCUUCCUUGUAUUUUGUUUACUAUUGUAUUGGAUUUAAAAAAAAAGAGAGAAGAAAUUCAGAAAAAAAAUUCAAAAAAAAAAUAAAAAAAAGGAAAAAAAAGUGACAAAAAAAUCGAGUUAAAAAAAAAGAAGAAAAAACAAAAGUGAAAAGUCUUGUGAGUUUUAUUUUGUUUUUUUGUUGCUUCCGAGCAUCCAUUCAUUUUACCAUUCCCUCUACCCCCCCAAACGCCACACAUACUUUGAUUUUUAUUUUCUUUGUUUAGCCUACCCUACACCCGACGUUAUCCCUUGUAACCCAUUUGAAGCCGACCCUCUAAGCCGCAAUAAGUUUUCUUGAAACAAAAUCCAAAUUCACAAGAGUGAGACGAGCGAAAAAAGGCACGAGU
RNAcentral lists this long non-coding RNA (392 nucleotides) under Gossypium barbadense (sea-island cotton). RNAcentral's name for it is "long non-coding RNA (GBAR_LNC022807)". Lineage: Eukaryota; Viridiplantae; Streptophyta; Magnoliopsida; Malvales; Malvaceae. The record is from RNAcentral.